RNAcentral lists this ribosomal RNA (236 nucleotides) under uncultured bacterium. RNAcentral's name for it is "partial 16S ribosomal RNA". It matches the Rfam family "Bacterial small subunit ribosomal RNA", at positions 524 to 758 of the family's 1533-position model. The record is from RNAcentral.
UACGAAGGGGGCUAGCGUUGCUCGGAAUCACUGGGCGUAAAGGGUGCGUAGGCGGGUUUUUAAGUCAGAGGUGAAAUCCUGGAGCUCAACUCCAGAACUGCCUUUGAUACUGAGAAUCUUGAGUACGGGAGAGGUGAGUGGAACUGCGAGUGUAGAGGUGAAAAUUCGUAGAUAUUCGCAAGAACACCAGUGGCGAAGGCGGCUCACUGGCCCGGUACUGACGCUGAGGUGCGAAA